GUGUGUGUGUGUGUAUAGAUUUAACCAGUUAAUCAUCUUUCAUUGCUCACACUGGGUGUGGGCGUGGCAUAAAUGACUACUUUACAGACAGGCUUCAUCUUCUGGAAUAUACUUUAGGAAAGUUUCUUCAAGAAUAACUUCCUCAUUUUUUUCAAAGUGCAACUUGCAGACUUACCUGUGCUUUUUGUUUUCACUAAGACAACACUGGAUGGCCUAGAACUUAAGACAAGUCUGUCCUCAGGGAAAUCUGGGAACAGCUGGUGCUGAAGUUAGCUAAUUACCAGCCAAGCUGAACUGCAGAGGUGCUUCAUGUCUCCAGCAUUACACGGCGUACGGAUGAUGAGGCUUAAUAUAGAAUGACUGGAGAAUUUAAGCAGAA
Non-coding RNA from Pogona vitticeps (central bearded dragon), 379 nucleotides. NCBI's taxonomy places the organism in Eukaryota, Metazoa, Chordata, Lepidosauria, Squamata, Agamidae. The record is from RefSeq and is a predicted model, not a curated record.